UACGGAAGGGGCAAUCGUUGUUCGGAAUCAUUGGGCGUAAAGGGCGCGUAGGUGGUUCUGUAUGUCUACCGUGAAAGCGUACGGCUCAACCGUAUUUUGUCGGUGGAAACUGCAGGACUUGAGGCUGGGAGGGGCUGGUGGAAUUCCCUGUGUAGCGGUGAAAUGCGUAGAGAUGGGGGAGAACACUCGUGGCGAAGGCGGCCAGCUAGACCAGUUCUGACACUGAGGCGCGACAGCGUGGGGAGCAAACAGG
Molecule: ribosomal RNA, 253 nt
Filed under: uncultured bacterium
Lineage: Bacteria
Description: partial 16S ribosomal RNA
Rfam family: Bacterial small subunit ribosomal RNA
Source: RNAcentral